UGGUCUAUCUGGCGAGCCCCGGAGAAUGUGCAAAUCUGAGAGAGGGAAGGAAAACUUUUGAAUUCCUGAAUGAUUUUGUAGAAAGGCGGCUUAGGAUCAUUAUGUCAGCUUUAUUGAGGGCGGAUUAAGCGGAGUCUAGAUGCUACGCCUUGUACACGGCCCUUUCACAAUGUGA
This is a non-coding RNA of Larimichthys crocea (large yellow croaker), 175 nucleotides long. NCBI's taxonomy places the organism in Eukaryota, Metazoa, Chordata, Actinopteri, Sciaenidae. The record is from Rfam.